RNAcentral lists this transfer RNA (88 nucleotides) under Bacillota bacterium. RNAcentral's name for it is "tRNA-Leu". It matches the Rfam family "tRNA". From Rfam's summary of the family: Transfer RNA (tRNA) molecules are approximately 80 nucleotides in length. Their secondary structure includes four short double-helical elements and three loops (D, anti-codon, and T loops). The record is from RNAcentral. Lineage: Bacteria; Bacillati; Bacillota.
GCCGAAGUGGCGGAACUGGCAGACGCGGCGGACUCAAAAUCCGCUGGGGCCCUACCCCGUGUGGGUUCGACUCCCACCUUCGGCACCA